UAGGGAAUCUUCCGCAAUGGACGAAAGUCUGACGGAGCAACGCCGCGUGAGUGAUGAAGGGUUUCGGCUCGUAAAACUCUGUUGUUAAGGAAGAAUACUUGAGGUAGUAACUGGCCUUGAGAUGACGGUACUUAACCAGAAAGCCACGGCUAACUACGUGCCAGCAGCCGCGGUAAUACGUAGGUGGCAAGCGUUAUCCGGAAUUAUUGGGCGUAAAGCGCGCGUAGGCGGUAAAAUAAGUCUGAUGUGAAAGCCCCCGGCUCAACCGGGGAGGGUCAUUGGAAACUGUUUUACUUGAGUACAGAAGAGGAGAGUGGAAUUCCAUGUGUAGCGGUGAAAUGCGCAGAGAUAUGGAGGAACACCAGUGGCGAAGGCGGCUCUCUGGUCUGUUACUGACGCUGAGGUGCGAAAGCGUGGGGAUCAAACAGGAUUAGAUACCCUGGUAGUCCACGCCGUAAACGAUGAGUGCUAAGUGUUGGGGGGUUUCCGCCCCUCAGUGCUGCAGCUAACGCAUUAAG
This 518-nucleotide ribosomal RNA is filed under the name Jeotgalicoccus sp. AP5H7. RNAcentral's name for it is "bacterial SSU rRNA". It matches the Rfam family "Bacterial small subunit ribosomal RNA", at positions 355 to 864 of the family's 1533-position model. Lineage: Bacteria; Bacillati; Bacillota; Bacilli; Caryophanales; Staphylococcaceae. The record is from RNAcentral.